GGAGCAUCUGAGACAGGUGGUGCAUGGUUGUCGUCAGCUCGUGUCGUGAGAUGUUGGGUUAAGUCCCGCAACGAGCGCAACCCUUGUCCAUAGUAGCCAGAAGUAAGAUGGGNACUCUAUGGAGACUGCCCGGGAUAACCUGGAGGAAAGUGGGGAUGACGUCAAAUCAUCAUGCCCCUUAUGAUCUGGGCCACACACGUGCUACAAUGUGGUAACAAAAGGAAGCGAAGGAGCGAUNCGGAGCAAAUCUCCCAAAUAACGACCCCCUUCUGACUGUAGGCUGCAACCCCCCUGCACCAAAAUGGAAUCNUAUUAAUCNCCGAUCANCAUGCUGCGGUGAAUAAAUUCCCCGGGC
This 355-nucleotide ribosomal RNA is filed under the name uncultured bacterium. RNAcentral's name for it is "bacterial SSU rRNA". It matches the Rfam family "Bacterial small subunit ribosomal RNA", at positions 1022 to 1380 of the family's 1533-position model. The record is from RNAcentral.